Molecule: ribosomal RNA, 468 nt
Filed under: uncultured bacterium
Lineage: Bacteria
Description: partial 16S ribosomal RNA
Rfam family: Bacterial small subunit ribosomal RNA
Source: RNAcentral
GACGAACGCUGGCGGCGUGCUUAACACAUGCAAGUCGAACGGAAAGGCCCUGCUUUUGUGGGGUGCUCGAGUGGCGAACGGGUGAGUAACACGCGAGUAACCUGCCCUUGACUUUGGGAUAACUUCAGGAAACUGGGGCGAAUACCGGAUAGGAGCUCCUGCUGCAUGGUGGGGGUUGGAAAGUUUCGGCGGUUGGGGGUGGUCUCGCGGCUUAUCCGCUUGUUGGUGGGGUAGUGGCUUACCAAGGCUUUGACGGGUAGCCGGCCCGAGAGGGUGACCGGCCUCAUUGGGCCUGAGAUACGGACCAGAAUCCUACCGGCGGCAGCGGUCGGGAACAUUGCACAAUGGGCCGACGCCUGAUGCGACAACCCCGCGUGCGGGAUGACGGCCUUCGGGUUGUAAACCGAUUUCGCCUGUGACAAAGCGUGAGUGACGGUAAUGGGUAAAAAAGCACCGGCUAACUACGUG